GACGAACGCUGGCGGCGUGCUUAACACAUGCAAGUCGAACGAAGUGGCGAACGGGUGAGUAACGCGUAAUCAACCUGCCCUUCAGAGGGGGACAACAGUUGGAAACGACUGCUAAUACAGCAUACUGAAGGAGGGGAUUGCGUCUGAUUAGGUAGUUGGAGGGGUAACGGCCCACCAAGGCGAUGAUCAGUAGCCGGGCUGGGAGGAGGGACGGCCAAAUUGGGACUGGUACCCGGCCCAGAAUCCUACGGGAGGCAGCAGUGGGGAAUCUUCCGCAAUGGAAGAAAGUCUGACGGAGCAACGCCGCGUGAGUGAUGACGGCCUUCGGGUUGGAAAGCUCUGUUAAUCGGGACGCGGUACCGGAAUAGAAAGCCACGGCUAACUACGUGCCAGCAGCCGCGGUAAUAC
This 408-nucleotide ribosomal RNA is filed under the name uncultured bacterium. RNAcentral's name for it is "partial 16S ribosomal RNA". It matches the Rfam family "Bacterial small subunit ribosomal RNA", at positions 28 to 526 of the family's 1533-position model. The record is from RNAcentral.